UAAUUGAAGAGUUUGAUCAUGGCUCAGAUUGAACGCUGGCGGCAGGCCUAACACAUGCAAGUCGGGCGGUAACAGGGAGAAGCUUGCUUCUACGCUGACGAGCGGCGGACGGGUGAGUAAUGUAUGGGGAUCUGCCUGAUGGCGGGGGAUAACUACUGGAAACGGUAGCUAAUACCGCAUAAUGUCU
RNAcentral lists this ribosomal RNA (187 nucleotides) under Morganella morganii subsp. morganii. RNAcentral's name for it is "partial 16S ribosomal RNA". It matches the Rfam family "Bacterial small subunit ribosomal RNA", at positions 1 to 181 of the family's 1533-position model. The record is from RNAcentral. Lineage: Bacteria; Pseudomonadati; Pseudomonadota; Gammaproteobacteria; Enterobacterales; Morganellaceae.